This 644-nucleotide long non-coding RNA is filed under the name Homo sapiens (human). RNAcentral's name for it is "long non-coding RNA NONHSAT231490". Lineage: Eukaryota; Metazoa; Chordata; Mammalia; Primates; Hominidae. The record is from RNAcentral.
GGAGAGCAGAAAGCCUGGCCUGGAUCAGUCUGCUGAGAAACAGCAAUGCCUGGCUACAGGCCAUGUCGGUGCCUUGGGAAAGGGGAGCGGUUCUCAUGGGACUUCCCAAGCCCUGCAGCCUCUGAAGUCACUUCAAAAUGUUCUCAGUAUGGAGGGAGAGAGUCACACCUUGCAGAAGGCCUUAGGCCCUGCCGACUUCUUCUAACUCAGUGACCUGCACAUCUUGCUGUGUUCGUUCAGACACCCCGCAGACAGGAAGGCGAUUCAGGCUUGGAGGCAAGGUAUUAACUGUCAGCAGAGAGAGACCUCUGCAUCAUCUGGGGAACGUUUAUUGCAGUCCCUCCUCUUGUGAGCUUCACUCCCAAGUAGAACCAAAGGAGCAUCAGCAGGGGGAGUAUUUUCUUCCCCAAUCCUUCGGUCAUUCCUGAGGUACAGGAAAUACAAGGCAAAGAUGUCAUAUUGAAAGAAAAGCUUAUAAUUUCUACUCCUCCCCUCCCCACUUCCCACAGAAUUAACUUUCCCUUAACUUCCCUAACAGGGGCCUGACAUUGCGGUUUGAAUUCAGCCACCCUGGGAAUCUGCACCCUGAGCUUUCUCCAAUUUCUGGGAUGGCACAGUGAUGGCAGGGCUUAAGAGUGCCUCAA